CAUAACCUUACCAUUUUGAGGAAGAUCGGCAUACUUGUUUAAAAUAGCAGCCUUGGAGAGAAGAGGUUCAACGUCGUAUUGAGACAUAUUGAAAGUAAAAGGGAAAAAAAAGGUAGAAAAACAAAAGAUAAAAAAAAACGAAAGUCUAGAGAACGGAAAUUUGAAAACUAGCAACAGAAGAAAACCCCGUUACAAAACAAUAGAUCGAUUACUGUAAACCAGGAUUAACAAAAUUUGUCAACGAUCGAAAAACCGAGAUAAGGAUAUCGAACGAAGUAUAUUAAUGAAGAAUAAAAAAAAAGUAACUUUAAACCAAGGCAACAAUUAUACCGAGUUUAAUCUAAAUUACCGUGUAGAGAAGAAGAAAACCCCCCAAAAAAAAUUUAUAUGUAUAAAAUAAAAUAUGUGUAGGAGCGUGAAUUAUAUAUGUUACUAGUAAAAGCAAAUAUAUAACAGCGUUUUUUUCGUUUUACACAAUCAAAUCUUUCUUUACAAAUCUAGAAGAAAGAAAGCCGAACAAACGAAACGAAACGAAACAAAAAAGGGUGGAAAUUUUUUUUUGGCUUCGAAAAUGUUAUUUGGAGAAGAGUAAGGUGACUCGCGCCUUCACUUUAUAUACCACGACCGGUUAAUUGCACCUCGUCCUCCAACACUCCGUUAACGAGGAAACCGGCGUAGAUAAAGAGUUUGGGGUAAGGGUUGCAAUAGAUGGGCAGCAUUUGAUUGGGGGGUUCUUGUCCAGAAUGCAAGAUAUCACAGAUGAUUGGAAGUAUGGGCCAAUCAUGGAGCGAAUGAAUGAUAUGGAAGAUAAUUUAUCUAGAAUGAUUGGCGGAAAAGGCGCCUAAAGAUAGUGCCAGGGAUCGCCUUUUUUCCAUUUUUUUAUCAUGAAUUAACCCGGAAAAGCUGGACACCGCAAGUCAUCGUUGCUGCAAUUACGGAGAUUUUCGGAGCGCGUAAAGAGCGAGAGAGAGAGCAGGCUGGGUAUGAUGGGUGCUCAUGUGUUCGCUUGCAUGUAUGAGCAAAGCAAAGGGAGAGUUGAUACACACACACACACACACAGAAAGAGAGAGAGAUAUAGAGAACGAGGAUAUCAGUUUAAAGAAAUGAAGCUUCAUAACGAGUUGCCUUGAAGAUAUACAUUGCUAUUACUACGAUUGCAUGUUGUGUAAUUAAAAUUAACAAGGUGUCAUUGUAAAUAAUCAGUUUAUCUCAAAUGUGUGAUAGUCUAAAUUUACUUUUGCUACUAAGUAGGUAAUUAGGUUGGGUUGCUUUAUCUCUAGGUAGGCAGUUCUUCGUUGGUAUUCUAGAUACCCCAACCAAGUGUGGACGUAUGCGACGAUGAUAAUAGUGGAUAGGAAAGCUAGACGCUGACUAUUCAGCGUGUUUUAAUUUUAAUUUUUUUUUUUUUAGAUGAGGAGGGGCUUCUUAUCAGGAUUCAAUGAAGCUAUGUGUUGCCAGCUGUUGACUAGACUAACAUUGAAGUAACAAUACCAGGGCACGACAAGUUCCAUCAAGGGCAUGUCUUAACACAGUCAAUAUGAGUGAGGUUAGCAAUAAGAACGAGGUUAACAAAAACUGUAGAAUGAAAACAAAGAGUAGCGCAACAAAAUAGAGAAGAGCGAUAGGGUCGCUGAGAUAUUGUUAAUGCAUUCAUAUAGUCAAACGAUGGAUAGAAACGAAAAGAUUGCUGAUAAAUCGCAUGGAUCUUUG
This 1710-nucleotide long non-coding RNA is filed under the name Schizosaccharomyces pombe (fission yeast). The record is from RNAcentral. Lineage: Eukaryota; Fungi; Ascomycota; Schizosaccharomycetes; Schizosaccharomycetales; Schizosaccharomycetaceae.